UCUGAGCUGUCAGCACAGAGCCUGACAUGGGGCUCCAACUCAUAAACCGUGAGAUCAUGACCUGAGCCAAGGCUGGACGUUCAAUCUACUGAGCCCCAAUAAUCUGAAUUUUUAUGUGUGCUUUGGCUACUUCUGUAUCUCCAGGCAUAGAAAGGGGCCUGGUCCAGAGCAGAUAUGUAGUCAACAGUGUGUGAAGAAUCCUGGGAGGCCGAAGUAGGAGAUAGUGUGGCGGCCUCCCCGAGUCCAACUCUGAAGAAUUUUGCAGAGUUUGGGAAUCUUUGCCGAGAGCUUUUGUAGCACCGUGGGAAACGCUUCAUGCGGAUCAUCUCAUUCAGUCCUCCGAGCUGACGUGUGAACUCCAUGCUCUUACUGGCAGAUACAAGUCUUUCUUAUCACAGCCCAUCAUAGAGUUACAUUCAGAGGACACACUUCAGAUCGGCAAGUACCCUUCACCUGAGUCAUACAGUAUGGACUACCUCUCUGCUUGUCUUCCCCUUUUCUGCUUAAAAAUGGCGUGUGUGUGUGUGUGUGUGUGUGUGUGUGUGUGUGUGAGGGAGAGAGUCUGCGGGUGUCCAUGUGAUGUCACCGAGCAUAUACUCUUUGCAUCACAUUUACUGUAAAGGAAUUUCAGACGACACCUGUUGAAUUCAAAGACAUGCCAUUAUUGGAGCAGACCUCCAAGAUUUACCCGAACUCGAAGAGAAGCUAAAGAAAUGUAACAUGAAUCCACAGUGAGAUUUUUUUUUUUAAACCUCUAAUGCAUUUGUGAUUUCAUGCUAAUGUGAAAUAAGGUCAGUCGAAAGUGUAGCAUGAUACCCAUGUCUCAUUUUUUAUCCUGAAACGUUAAUCAUUGCUACUGAGAGCAGUUUUCUAAAAUUUUUUGAGGAGCAGUGUUUCUCCUGUUUUCACGUCAGAAUCACGUGUAUUGCUUUUGUAACAUACUGAUGCCUAAUAUCACACAGUUUGAGAGAAGAGAAGUAUAUGCAUAAAAACCUGUAACUGGAGGGUGCCUGGGUGGCUCAGUUGUUUAAGCAUCCAACUCUUGAUUUCAGCUCAGGUCAUGAUCUCACGGUUGAUGAGAUUGAACCUCGCGUCAGGCUCUGUGCUGACAGCCUGGAGAUGACAGGCAGUACGCGUGUGAAAGCAAGUGACCAGAAAUGGGUGCACAAAGAAGCCCGGGAUGCACGAGUCCAGCUGUCGCUCUGCAAAACAGGCCGGAGCGUGAAGACCUUUCCAUCUUUUCCUCCAUUCUGUGGCGCUAACCUGCUGUCCGGUGCUGUUUCCUCACUGUCUGGUGAUGCCGCCUCACCUCAUGCCGACAUCCUCCGUCUCCCAGGGCUGCUUCCCACUCAGCGGCAGGAGCCCCGUCUGACCAGCACAGGAGCGCAGCCGGGAGGCUCAGGUGGCCAAGGUCAGAGAGGGAGUCGGUGAGCUGCACAGACUCAAGUCCAGCUUCCUUUUUCCUGGACUCCAGCUGCCCCAGAGGAAUUUUCGUUUCCAAGGCCUCACCUAAAAGCUUUGAUGACAUCAUGGAGCGGACUAACUACCAAAAGAAGCUGAUUAGUCCAGGAGAGUAAUUCAGUGUGAUCGCCAGAUCUCAUCAUGGAGAAGAUCACAUUUCAGCGUUUCUGGGGAAGCUCUCCCACAGACGCCACGUGUGUUCCAGAGACCAGCAGGACACCCCCACCGACACGGGGGGCGCACGGCGCCUCUCCACAGCCCUGUUCACAGCCCGGGAGCCGAGGCGACCCCUCUCUCCACGAACUGGCCUGGGGUUCCCGGCCCUGGGCUCGAAGAGGUCUGUGCAGUCCGUGAAAUUCUGUGCCAACUCGCGUGCAUACAUGAUGUUUUCACGGGGAGAGUGCUGUCAGAACCUCCAUCUACAUUUACGGGGAGCAGGUCUCUAUUCCCAGAGACUGUUCCAAGAGUCAAAGGCUGCAGUUAAGAAGUCCAUUGCCCUGUGACCAGCUAUCACUUCUUCAGAAGCCAUAUGAACAUAUUGUCGGGUUGCCUGGGGGGCUCAGUCGGUUCAGUGUCCAACUUCAGCUCAGGUCAUGAUCUUACGGUUCGGGAGUUUGAGCC
Long non-coding RNA from Suricata suricatta (meerkat), 2082 nucleotides. RefSeq lists it as uncharacterized. The record is from RefSeq and is a predicted model, not a curated record. Lineage: Eukaryota; Metazoa; Chordata; Mammalia; Carnivora; Herpestidae. The transcript is spliced from 4 exons.